ACCAACGCCAGGUCUACUCGGCCCGAAAGUCCCAGCAGCCCCCGGGCCGCGCUUCGCCGGGCCGCGCGGCCAGUUCGUGGCCCCCUCGCUGGUCAGGACCUAAGAGGCUGUGCUCGGGAACCUCAGAGUGGGUCAACAUUCGUGUCCUAUGUUGGACUGCAGAGCCCAAAGGUCUCCGAUUCUCUUGCAAUCAAGUCUCCAAGACUCUCCCUGUGUCACCACUCCAAUCACUGUGAUAGGCCAACAUCAAGACCCUCACAGAACCAGUUUCUUGGAAGCCCGGGCUGCGCACCAUUAACACUGUUGCCACACGUGAAGGGAUGGGCUUCCUGGAGCCUGUUGACACCCGAACUGCAAGCUGAAAACAGGAGCUGGUCAGGCAAGAAGUAGGGAGAGGUCUGAUGGUAAGAGUAAGGGCAUUUGCAAUGUGGUCAAUGUUUAAUGAAUGAGUUAUUGAAUCAGAAAAUAAUUAAAAUGCAUACACAAACCAGUA
Molecule: long non-coding RNA, 493 nt
Organism: Marmota monax (woodchuck)
Lineage: Eukaryota; Metazoa; Chordata; Mammalia; Rodentia; Sciuridae
Exons: 4
Source: RefSeq, a predicted model, not a curated record